This 396-nucleotide ribosomal RNA is filed under the name uncultured bacterium. Its description in RNAcentral is "bacterial SSU rRNA". It matches the Rfam family "Bacterial small subunit ribosomal RNA", at positions 32 to 407 of the family's 1533-position model. The record is from RNAcentral.
AAUCAACGCUGGCGGCGUGCCUCAGACAUGCAAGUCGAACGCGAAAAGUCCCCUUCGGGGGACGAAGUAGAGUGGCGCACGGGUGAGUAACACGUAGGUAAUCUACCUUCGGAUGGGGAAUAACAACCGGAAACGGUUGCUAAUACCGCAUAAUGCAGCGGCACCUAAUGGUGACAGUUGUUAAAGCGGGGGAUCUAAGACCUCGCGUCUGAAGAGGAGCCUGCGGCGGAUUAGCUAGNGGUAGGGUAACGGCCUACCAAGGCGACGAUCCGUAGCCGGCCUGAGAGGGCGGUCGGCCACACUGACACUGACAUACGGGUCAGACUCCUACGGGAGGCAGCAGUCGGGAAUUUUGGGCAAUGGGCGAAAGCCUGACCCAGCAACGCCGCGUGAAGG